GUGCCAGCAGCCGCGGUAAUACGUAGGGGGCAAGCGUUGUCCGGAAUUAUUGGGCGUAAAGCGCGCGCAGGCGGUUCAUUAAGUUUGGUGUUUAAGCCCGGGGCUCAACCCCGGUUCGCACUGAAAACUGGUGGACUUGAGUGCAGGAGAGGAAAGCGGAAUUCCACGUGUAGCGGUGAAAUGCGUAGAGAUGUGGAGGAACACCAGUGGCGAAGGCGGCUUUCUGGACUGUAACUGACGCUGAGGCGCGAAAGCGUGGGGAGCAAACAGGAUUAGAUACCCGCGUAGUCC
Molecule: ribosomal RNA, 291 nt
Filed under: uncultured bacterium
Lineage: Bacteria
Description: partial 16S ribosomal RNA
Rfam family: Bacterial small subunit ribosomal RNA
Source: RNAcentral